Molecule: ribosomal RNA, 531 nt
Filed under: Propomacrus cypriacus
Lineage: Eukaryota; Metazoa; Arthropoda; Insecta; Coleoptera; Glaphyridae
Description: partial 16S ribosomal RNA
Rfam family: Bacterial large subunit ribosomal RNA (bases 33-397)
Source: RNAcentral
UUUUAUUUUUAAGUUAAAAAGCUUAAAUGUAUUUAAAAGACGAGAAGACCCUAUAGAGUUUUAUAUAUGUAUAUUUAUUGGUUUUAUAGUAUUUUGAUGCUGAUAUUUAGUAAUGUAUUUUGUUGGGGUGACAGAAAAAUUGGCUAAACUUUUUCUAAAAUUGAACAUUUAUUUAUGAUUGUUUGAUCCAUUAUUUAUGAUUAUAAGAUUAAAUUACCUUAGGGAUAACAGCGUAAUUUUUUUUGAGAGUUCUUAUCGAUAAAAGAGUUUGCGACCUCGAUGUUGGAUUAAAAUUAAUUUCUGGUGCAGAAGCUGGAAAAUUGGGUCUGUUCGACCCUUAAAAUUUUACAUGAUCUGAGUUUAAACCGGUGUGAGCCAGGUUGGUUUCUAUCUUUAAAUUAAACAAAUAUUUUAGUACGAAAGGACCAAAUAUUUAUAAUAUUUAUUUAGCUUAUGAAUGUUAAUAAUAGAUUACUUUGGCAGAUUAGUGCUUUAAAUUUAGAAUUUAAAUAUGUAUAUUAUACAAGUAAU